This 491-nucleotide ribosomal RNA is filed under the name uncultured bacterium. RNAcentral describes it as "partial 16S ribosomal RNA". It matches the Rfam family "Bacterial small subunit ribosomal RNA", at positions 29 to 507 of the family's 1533-position model. The record is from RNAcentral.
AGUGAACGCUGGCGGUAGGCCUAACACAUGCAAGUCGAACGGCAGCACAGUAAGAGCUUGCUCCUACGGGUGGCGAGUGGCGGACGGGUGAGGAAUACAUCGGAAUCUACUUUUUCGUGGGGGAUAACGUAGGGAAACUUACGCUAAUACCGCAUACGACCUACGGGUGAAAGCAGGGGAUCUUCGGACCUUGCGCGAUUGAAUGAGCCGAUGUCGGAUUAGCUAGUUGGCGGGGUAAAGGCCCACAAGGCGACGAUCCGUAGCUGGUCUGAGAGGAUGAUCAGCCACACUGGAACUGAGACACGGUCCAGACUCCUACGGGAGGCAGCAGUGGGGAAUAUUGGACAAUGGGCGCAAGCCUGAUCCAGCCAUACCGCGUGGGUGAAGAAGGCCUUCGGGUUGUAAAGCCCUUUUGUUGGGAAAGAAAAGCAGCAGGUUAAUACCCCGCUGUUCUGACGGUACCCAAAGAAUAAGCACCGGCUAACUUCGUG